This 453-nucleotide ribosomal RNA is filed under the name uncultured bacterium. RNAcentral describes it as "bacterial SSU rRNA". It matches the Rfam family "Bacterial small subunit ribosomal RNA", at positions 340 to 786 of the family's 1533-position model. The record is from RNAcentral.
UACGGGAGGCAGCAGUGGGGAAUAUUGCACAAUGGGCGCAAGCCUGAUGCAGCCAUGCCGCGUGUAUGAAGAAGGCCUUCGGGUUGUAAAGUACUUUCAGUCGUGAGGAAGGUGUUAAGGUUAAUAACCUUAGCAAUUGACGUUAGCGACAGAAGAAGCACCGGCUAACUCCGUGCCAGCAGCCGCGGUAAUACGGAGGGUGCGAGCGUUAAUCGGAAUUACUGGGCGUAAAGGGCACGCAGGCGGUUAAUUAAGUUGGAUGUGAAAUCCCCGGGCUUAACCUGGGAAUGGCAUUCAAGACUGGUUAGCUAGAGUCUUGUAGAGGGGGUAGAAUUCCAUGUGUAGCGGUGAAAUGCGUAGAGAUGUGGAGGAAUACCGGUGGCGAAGGCGGCCCCUGGGACAAAGACUGACGCUCAUGUGCGAAGCGUGGGGAGCAAACGAGGAUUAGAUACC